AGUUGAAGUGGUGAAUCUCCUUCGUCUGGAAGAAGGGAAAACAAGACUCCAGGGGGGACUUUGAUACGCCUCAGUGCUCGAACGGAAAUCAUUUUCCCUUCCUCUCACGACAUUGAUGACUGGCUAUUUCCCUCGACGGAACAAAGGACCUACAAUACUACUAACUUCAAGUCAUUCUUUUGAAGCGUUAAGAGUUCAAAAAUUUAAAAAGUAUCGCUGGAAUCCCAUCAAUAGUUUUCGAGGCUUGCAGGUUUAGCUAAGUCAUACAGAACUAGCCAUCCACGAAAGAAGGGAUGAGAAAGGUACUUACUUUGAGAAGCUACUCCUAGAUGAUACGACGCGGCGGCGGAGGCGGGGCGUUUUUCCUCUCACGACAUUGAUGACUGGCUAUUUCCCUCGACGGAACAAAGGACCUACAAUACUACUAACUUCAAGUCAUUCUUUUGAAGCGUUAAGAGUUCAAAAAUUUAAAAAGUAUCGCUGGAAUCCCAUCAAUAGUUUUCGAGGCUUGCAGGUUUAGCUAAGUCAUACAGAACUAGCCAUCCACGAAAGAAGGGAUGAGAAAGGUACUUACUUUGAGAAGCUACUCCUAGAUGAUACGACGCGGCGGCGGAGGCGGUGCUUUAUUGUGGCCGGACGGCGGAAGAAAUUGAGAACGAUUGCAGGCAGCUGCCACUCUUCUUUUCUGUCAGAAACUGGGGGAGUGGAAGGGAUUUGGGCCCGAAUGAUGGGCCAACUUAUUUUGGCCCGAUUGAGGAAAGGUCGACGCAGACAAAAUGAGCCACUGAACCGUACAAAUACCCUUCAGGUAGAACGACACCGUUAUAAUGCAUUUCAAUGGAAUACCUCCUCGAGGUGGCUGUGAAAAAAAGAAGUUGACGGAAUCAGAAUCAAUCAUCGGACAUAAUACCUUAAAACUCGCAAUCUGGAACCCUGAAUUUACUCUGUUUGCGCUCUAUUUUCGAAGUUCCAAUCCCAGAAACCCACUACCCCAGCAAACAUUUUUUAUGGUGUCUAAACCCUAAAUGACCACACACAUGUCAAGGAAAAUCUGAUCUGAUGACUCAUUUACCUCUACGAAAAUCCAAAGGCUCCUGACAGGAGGGCGGAUCAUCCACUUCACCAUUAUGACGUCAACGUGUAAUAUCACUCAAAACUUGGAAAACUAAAGCCAUAAAAGAAAAUGAUGUCAGGCGUACACUGUUGUAAAGCGAAAGGGGAAGAGAAUUUCGAGAUUCAACGUUGGCGUCGGAAGAAAACUCACUUCCUUCUCGAUCGGAGUAUCGUGAAUAGUAACGACCGAAAGGGAAGGACAGAGAACCUUUUGUUAUUUGGGGAAUGUGAAAAGGCGGAUGGAAAGAGAGAGACAAGCUAUUGGAUUAUUUAAAUUGUUUAACUUCAGUGGGUUCUUUUGGUUCGUGGUUUUUUUAUCGGUUUUCUCGGUUUUCAAAAGUAGCUCGG
This 1461-nucleotide long non-coding RNA is filed under the name Linum usitatissimum (flax). RNAcentral describes it as "long non-coding RNA (LUSI_LNC004986)". Lineage: Eukaryota; Viridiplantae; Streptophyta; Magnoliopsida; Malpighiales; Linaceae. The record is from RNAcentral.